Molecule: RNA transcript, 5321 nt
Organism: Columba livia (rock pigeon)
Lineage: Eukaryota; Metazoa; Chordata; Aves; Columbiformes; Columbidae
Gene: ASB7
Gene name: ankyrin repeat and SOCS box containing 7
Exons: 7
Source: RefSeq, a predicted model, not a curated record
CGCUGACCCCGCAGCGGAGCCGAGGGGGGCGGCUCGGUGCAAAGUGUCCCCACACGGCUCGGCCCCCUCCCGCGGCCGGCCCCGCCGCUCCCCCCGCCCCGCCGCCAGCGCGGGGGGCGGCUGCGCACGGGCGCGCAGCGGCCCCUCAUCCCCCGUUCCCGGCGGCAGACAGGUUUAAGCUGCCUUAAAGGAGAAUUAAAAAUUGUGACUCCAAAGAACAAAAUAAGACAGAAGAGAGAAAACAGCACUCAGAAAAAACCCAGAAAGGGGACAGCAGGUUUUGACACACAUGGGCGCACAAGAUUAUGAAUAGUGCAGGCAAUGAAGAGUGGGACAUCCAUCAAAGAGUGACAGCCUCUUACAAGGUGACUAGUGUGACCUCAUGACGCUUCUGUAAACCCAGAUUCAGCUAGGAUGUUACACCAUCACUGUCGGAGAAACCCUGAGCUACAGGAAGAGUUGCAGAUUCAGGCUGCAGUGGCUGCUGGCGAUGUUCACACCGUGCGCAAGAUGCUGGAGCAAGGGUAUUCUCCAAACGGUCGAGAUGCCAAUGGCUGGACCUUGCUUCAUUUCUCUGCAGCAAGAGGGAAAGAGAGAUGCGUCCGUGUUUUUCUUGAACAUGGAGCUGAUCCCACAGUUAAGGACUUAAUUGGAGGCUUCACCGCUCUGCAUUACGCAGCCAUGCAUGGCCGAGCGAGGAUUGCGCGCUUGAUGUUGGAAUCUGAAUAUAGAAGUGACAUUAUUAACGCGAAAAGCAACGAUGGUUGGACUCCCCUCCAUGUAGCAGCCCACUAUGGCCGAGACUCGUUUGUCAGGCUCCUGUUGGAGUUCAAGGCUGAGGUUGAUCCGCUCAGCGAUAAAGGUACCACCCCGCUCCAGCUGGCCAUUAUCCGCGAGAGGUCAAGCUGCGUGAAAAUCCUGCUGGAUCACAACGCCAACAUCGACAUUCAAAAUGGUUUCCUGUUACGAUACGCUGUGAUCAAAAGCAAUCACUCUUACUGCCGAAUGUUCCUUCAGAGAGGGGCGGAUACGAACUUGGGUCGCUUGGAAGAUGGACAGACACCCUUACACUUGUCUGCGCUUAGAGAUGAUGUGCUUUGUGCACAAAUGUUGUAUAAUUACGGAGCAGACACUAACACAAGGAACUAUGAAGGACAGACCCCACUGGCUGUUUCAAUAAGUAUUUCUGGAAGUAGCCGACCCUGUCUGGAUUUCUUACAAGAAGUGACAAGUGUUACAAGGAUAGAAAAAACCCCACAAAAAGUUAACUGGAGGAUUUAUGCUGUUCUACAGUGCUUAAGUGUGUGUUACCACCUCGUGGGAAUCCUCACGUGGAUAAUGUCACUUUACACUGACAUCAGUAAAAUUACAUGCAUGUAAAAGUGUUCUUUUAGGAUUCAUACCUUGAUUUCUGUGAAUUAUUGUUCACUAGAAAGGGCAGCCCAGAAACUUGCAAGAUCUAUGCCGAAUAAAAAUCCGUCAAUGUAUAGGCCUUCAAAACCUAAAACUACUUGAUGAACUACCCAUUGCCAAGGUCAUGAAAGACUACUUAAAACACAAAUUUGAUGAUAUCUGAUAUCCAUGAAGAGAAGAACUCUAAGCAAGAUUAGUUAUAUUCCAGAUACUGAAGAGGCUUGUUGCCUUGCACAAAGUAUAUCCUAUGCAAAUUCUGAUUUUUCUGUGAAGUCAGAAGGCAGGUAUACACUUCCUUGGGUUUUUUAUACCACACACUAGAAGGUCUUAAUUUUUGGUUUCUUGGUCCAAGUUUCCAAGGUCCAAGCUUUCUAUACGAUGUUACAUUUUAAAAAUUGCUAUUGGUUUUUGUUUGUUUGUUUUCACAUUAAGUGUGCAGACUUGCAGUGGAGAUGGAAGGCGACCUCUCAAGGGAUGCGCUUGGUUUGAAUUGGCAUGCUGAGCAAUUGUUCGAGAAAAUAAAGUUUGGAAAUCAAGGCACCAGUCCUGCAAAAGGAUACAGAUAGAAGGACCUUCAGAACCCUGUUGUCUGUUGGGACUUUUGUCUCUGCCAGGGUGUAUGUUUUUGCAGGAUAGAGGGAAGAGUUGAUAAUCAACAUGUCCUGGUGUACUGUACGAUCUAAUUUGGAAAUUAAAAAAUGCAAUUACCCUUUUUAAUUUGAGAGUCUAUACAUUGGCUCUUUUUAUAUUAUUGCUUUCCUAAUUCCUGUAGUUGGGAUGCCCAUAAAAUUCAGGCCUUCUUCUUUCCUGGCAUUCCCAGGAAAACGGGCGGUUGUUUCAGUCUAUUUUUAACAGUGACAGUACACUACAAAGAGGCAUAGCCUCAGUAUUUUUUACAUUAACUUAAAACAAAUUUAGAUUUUUUUUAAGCCAAUAUAUUCUGUUUCUCAUACAGUGCCUCCUGUGCAAUAAUCUUUCUGAUGUAUUUUCCCUUUAUGUGUGAUUUCCCCUCCCCACAGCUAUUCCUCAUUUAGUCUCAGUGCAUUGUUUGUGAGAACAGGAGCUGCUGCCUCGCUGAGGUGUUAACGUGAUGUUACUAAAGUGAUGCGGCAGUUGCUGUUCAUUAUCGCUCCCUGAAUUUCAUGAAUGUAUAACCUCCUUUAUUUUACUUUUAGUUGAAAUUUACGGGUUUUCAGCCAAAUUGUGUCCACUUAAAAGAAAAAUUGGCCAAACUCUCUUAUUUGAAAGGCAGUGAUGGAUUAUUUUUGUGGUUGCUCUGAAAUUCAAUUUGUUUCAGGUUAGAGAGUGGGAAAUGCAUAUAAGUUAUUAAGGUGCAUUUUCUGUGUGCACUAACAAAAAAAGCCUAAUUCAUAUUGGGAGUUUAAAUUUUGCAAAUAUUAAGUGGUUUCCAAUUAAUCUGAAAGCAGCGACUGAAAGGAGUACUGAAAUUUGGCUACUGAAUGUGUUCUCCAUACUAGGUAUUUAAAAUUUCUGUUAAAGAGUUUUGUUUCUGAUCAUAAAAUUAAUUUCUUACUAUCAAAAAAACAAUUGGGCCAAAAUGUGCUGGUUUUUCACUCUCUUUUCAAGGAAUUACGGAGUCAUCAUAAGGUCCUUGUCAGUGUUCUCUGCUUUUGUUUUGCUGUCCCACUGGCUCCUAAAGAGCCUCUCUAAUAUCAGGAGUUCUUUUGUACUGAUUAUACCAAUGGAAAAGGGGAGGUGAAAGGAAUGGUGGUAGCUUUUAAGUUUAACACUGUCACUUUCGAAAUAUUUAAUAUUAAAAAUAUGAAAAGCAAGGUGAAGCAGGUAUAUGCUCAUAUUAUUUAACUACAUUAGUUCCUUUUAAUAUCUUGUAACCCUGGUCUGCAGUUCCUUGAGCAGGAACCUUAUCACUGAUAAUUGAUGCACCGGAACCACAGCAAGCAAGGAGGAUUAUCUCUCCCUAUUGUGCCUGCCAUCGCCUCAGGUUUCCAAACAAUAAGCGAUUUUGGAGAUUCAUGUCUUAGAGGAUUGGUAAUGGGAUGUUGAACCUCUUUAUCUCCAUCUUGUCUCGGUUCAAGUCCAGCCUGUGAGCAGUGACCAAACGUUCAGAGCUCAGCAGCACGAGCAAGUAUGUCCAACCUUCUCACCCCGCGGUGCUUCCUCCGGGUUGUAAGUCCUGGUGGUGCCAUCUCAGCGGGGACAACCCAAGAGCCUUUUUGGGGUGUGCUGGCAACUCAGGUGCAGGACGGCAUCUGUUAAUUCCUGUUGAAACAAGAAAGAUCAGGCGUUAUGAUCUUUAAGCUCCCCAGUACUGAGGCAGGACAGAUGUUAAGAAUUGACUGGUGGGUUUUAAGUGUGAAUCUUCAGGAUUGUGACAUGAGAUCAGAACCUUUAAGAUUGCUGUACUUCUUUUUAAAUGUCAGCAUCAUUCACUAUGUUUGUAAGUUGGUCUAAACCAAUGUCCUUCCCCACUGGAUUUUUUACAGUAACGUUUUCUAAGGUAACCUAGAGUAUAUUUUAGUUGCAGUCUAUCUUAAGGCAAAUUAUUUGUUCUGUCUGUUGCUGUGACUGAAGAAAAUUACGGAAGACUUGGUAACAAGAAUGCUAUUUAAUGAAGAAAUGUGUAAUUCCAUUAUUUAUUGUUUGAGGUUUGUUCUUUGGUUAUUUCUUUUAUGUAACUGACAUGUCAAGGGAACACGCACACAUUUCAGGCCAGCAAAAGGCCUUUCUUUUAAAUUAUAACUUUUAGCCGAUCUUCCCUCCCUGAGGUGGAGGAAACCCUGGCCCUUGCUCACAAUGUGAAACCAUCUCUUGUAGCCGGUUUCUCUGACCUUGAUUCUGCAAAGCACCUGAGUCUCUGAACCUACCGAUAGUCCCGUUCGUGAUCUUAAAUUAUAGAUGUGCUCGGGUGCCGGUGAAGUAUGAUUAUUCAUUGUUAAUGCUACCCAAUUGUCAAUAAUCGGGGAUUUGGUCUUUUUUUAUUGUUAUUAUUUUAAAUAUCGUGCACAGAUACUUUGAAGAAUGAAUUGAACUUUGUUUUUCAUUCGGACUAGAAUGAGGAAGGAAAGUGCAUAAUACAGACUUGUUAUGUAGCCUAGUUCCAUUACCUUAAAAUUCAUGGUUAAACAUUUUUAAUAAACCUUAAAAAAAAUUGGCAAGUACACCAAAGAAUCAAUGAGUAAAAGACUCUGAUCAUUAACAAACUGCAAACCUCAUCCUUUAAAACAGAGCAGAAAGUUUCUGUAAAUAUUUAUGUUUAUAAAUGUACAGCAGAGUAAGAGUGUUUUUUAGAUUAUUUAAUUACCAUAUUUCUAAACUAUUUACAUUAUAGACAAUACUUGUUAGUUUGAAAAGCUCUUGAGCGUGGCUUUUUUUGUUUGGGUCUAUUUUGUUUUUGUGAGUUUUUGUUUGGUUUUUUUGUUUUGUUUUUUGUUUUUUGUUUGGGUUUUUGUUGGUUUUUUAAAUUCCUUAUCACUCAUGCUUGGAAUAACUCUGGCUUCCUCGGGAUAGCGUGGAAAAUCUGGUUUUCUGGCUCGAGUUGGCAAUUGUAAGAGGACACAUCUGGAUAAACUCAUCAAACAGAUACCCAGAGGCGAAGGAGAAUAUGUAGCGUGUUUAUCAGGGUGGGCCUGGGCUAGAUGAAAAAAAUUGGAUUGUGACUUAGUUAAAUCUGUGGAAAAGCCCCCGGUGACAUUGUGACCAGAGCGACUUGCAGCGUGCCCACAGGUCUGGUUUCCAUGCAACGCUGUGUUACCGAUAUCAUCAUGUAUUUUGUUCUUCCUUUGCAAUGUAAGUUUUUGCUUUGGGUCAAUUCGAAUUUAAAAAAAAAAAAGUUAAACCUGGUUAAAACCUUGUUUUUGGUUUAUGUUCUGCUUCUUUCUAAUGUAAUGUUUUAAUAACAUAAUACUGCUUUACACAUUUUCUCUCAA